RNAcentral lists this long non-coding RNA (4214 nucleotides) under Homo sapiens (human). RNAcentral's name for it is "HSALNT0404505". The record is from RNAcentral. Lineage: Eukaryota; Metazoa; Chordata; Mammalia; Primates; Hominidae.
CGCCUCUCUGCCUCGCGGACGUCCAGACUUCCGAGGCCUGGCUGUCUGCAGGGCGGCCAUUGCUGUGCGCGCGCGCGCGGGCAUGUGCAUGGUUCAGGGAAGAGGCUGCAUUUCACAGAGACUCUGUCCCAGGAGAGUCUUGCUCUAUCGCCCAGGCUGGAGUGCAGUGGCGUGAUCUCGGCUUAUUGUAACCUCCACCUCCCAGGUUCAAGCAAUUCUCGUGCCUCAGCCUCCUGAGUACCUGGGACUAGGGGUACGCACCACCACGCCCAGCUAAUUUUUGUAUUUUUAGUAGAGAUGGGGUUUCACCAUGAUGGCCAGGCUGAUUUCGAACUCCUGGCCUUAAGUGAGCCUCCUGCCUCGUUCUCCCAAAGUGCUGGGAUUACAGGCGUGAGCCACCAUGCCCAGCCGGCAUUUUCAUCUGGACUCUGCCAUGGGGCUCAGCAAAUCAGAUGUGACCUGGUGACAGGUGCCAAGAAGGUCUGGCGACCACAGGUUUCUUGUCGGUUUCUGCCUGGGACCCCCGCACCUCCCUACCAGUAUUCCCAACCCAACGAAAGACCGGCCAAGUACAAACCAAGGGCAGCCCUGAAGCCCAGGACCAUGAGGCCUGGAAGGCCCCAGGACAGGUGAUUUGUGGCCCUGGUGUCUCAGGUCAGGAGCAGGGCAGAGCCACCUUCCUCCCUCCCUGUGCGGGGCUGCAUGAGCUCAGGGACCUUUGGACCUGAGAAAGGUCAGGCUCACUUCCUCCCCGUGCCUGCGGUUGGCCGCAGGGGGAAUAUUCUCCUGACCCGAGUCCCGAAGCCCUGGGCGUGGAGUUUCCCUGGACUGGGAGAAAGUAAACACCGAGGGACUUGCCAAGAGGAAAUGGAGAAGCCCAGGUGUUCUGGGCGGAGCUGAGUGUCCCGCAGGGGGUUCCGCAGCUCCUCGCCUCUGGAAGACCAAGGACAGCUUUCCCCAGGGCUACAGCCUCACGCUCCCCUCCCAUCGUGGCUGGGCCUUUACUUGGGGGUGAGUGUCCUACAGACGAGGGGCUUAAAGCUACAGGAAUGCCUCGUCUCGCAGAGCUGGAGGCUGGAAGGCAGAUCGGCCUGUGAGGGCCGCGGUCACUCUUGGUCCUGAGCCCUCCUUGUCCGGCUGCUGGUGUCACGGGCACUCCUUGGGGUUCCUUGGCUUGUGGGAGCAUCGCGCCGGCCCCGCCUCUGUCAUCAGGCCGCCUCCCCUUCUCUUCUCGAAGGACACCUGCUACGGCGAGGGCCUCUCCAGGAUGACCUCAUCUCGUUCUCCACUAAUCACAGCUGCAAAGAUUUAUUUCCAAAUAAAGUCGCCUUCUUGGGUUCCAGGGGACCUGAUUUUGGGAGGCGCUGUUCCCCCAGCACAGGGAUACAGCAGGCCCUUGGCCUCAUCGGACAUCUGGUGCCCGCGCGCCCUCUCACUCACGUUGUCCAGGCCUCUGCCCUUCUCAACACCCGGACGUGGGCGUUCAGGUGUCCUUCCUGCCCUGGCGUAUGCCCCACUUAGCUGAGUGGGGGGCUUAGACCUCCGCCCCAUCUGCAGUCCUCCUGGGGCCUGCCAAUCAGACCCCCUGCAGCUGCAUGGUCUUGGGGCAUUGCUGUAAGGCCCUGGGGCCUUUCUGAAUCCAUCUGCAAGCUGGAGCUGAGUCCAGGAGCUGAGGCCGGGAGCAGGAGGUGAGGUUGCUAGCUGAGGCUGGGAGCAAGAGCUGAGGCCACUGGAGCUGAGGCUGGGAGCUGAGAUGUGGAGCUGGGGCUGAGGCUGGGAGGAGGGGUUGAGGAUACCUGGAGUUUGGGAGCUGGGCUGAGAGGCCAGGGAGGAGAGCCCUGCCACCACCCUGCUGCCCCCCCUCGCCACCCCCCUGCUGCCACCUUGCUGCCACCCUGCCUCCUGUUCCCAGCCCUCUGGCCAGUCCCUGUGUUCGUUUUCUGUUUUCUACUUACCAGAAACUUAGCAGCUUGAAACAGCACCCGCUCGGCACACAUUCCUUUUGGGAGUGUGAAAUGGUGCAGCUGCUGUGGGAAAUGGUCUGGUGAUUCCUCGCAAAGCUAAACAAUUGCCAUAGCACCCUGCAGUUCCACACCUGGGGAUGCACAGCCAGAAAUGAAGACGGGUGUCUGAGCAAAAACUCGGACAUGAGUGUUCACAGCAGCGUUAUUCACAGUAGCUAGAAGGUGGAAACAACCCAAGUGUCCGUGGACCGAGGAACAGAUCAACAGGCCACGGCGCACGCACGACGGAGUAUUGUGCAGCCAGAAAAAGGGUGAAGCUCCCUUACACAUUAUGGCGUGGGUGAGCCUCAGAAACAUGGUGCUAAGUGACUGCGUUUAUAUAAAAAGCUUGCACUGAUGUAAAGUGUCUAGAGUAGAGAAACCCAGGAGAUGAAGUGGAUUCGUGGCUUCCAGGGCCUGAGGGCAGAGGGAAGGGACCGGCUGCUGAUGGGUCUCCGUUUGGGAAGAUGAACGAGUUCUGGAGCUUGCUUGAGGCAGUGUCUGCACAACAGUGUGAGUGCACGGAAUGUGGCUGAAUUGGACUCUUUAAAAUAGUUCAGGUGGGCAAUGUUAUGUUAUGUGUGUUUUACUACCAUACAAAUAAGUAAAUAAAUGGACAAGCCUGCACCAUCUUGUAGCUCACACCUGCAGGUCAGGAGCCGGCCUGGGUCCCCUGCUGGGGCCUCACCUGGGGCUCAGGCCUCCUCCCAGGCUGGUUCAGAAUCCAGGUCCUUGUGGGUGUGGGACUGAGGUCCCCGUUUUCUCGCAGCUGUUGUCAGGGACUGCCCUCAGCUCCUAGGGCUUUCUCUCGGGUCCCUGCCUGGUGGCCUCUGGUGGCCCCUCCAUCUUCAAGCAGCAGGGGCCGGUGGAGUCCCCCCAUGAGUGGCUCUUUCUGGCCAUCCCUUCUGCACCCGCCAGAGGAAACUCCGCUUCUAAAGUGUUGGUGUGAUGAGGUCAGGCCCGGAGGCACCUCCCUGUUUUAAGGUCAGCGGGUUGGUGAACUUCACCAUGCCUUCAGAAUCCCUCUGCCACACAACACAGCCGUCUUGGGAGUAACACUGGAGGCAGAGACCACGGGCGACCUCCAAGAUCUGCUUACAACAGUCGUUUCAACAGAGUUGAGUCAGCUUGGGGCUUCUCCGAGUGACUGUGCACAGGGGUCCUGGGGCUUCUCCGAGUGACUGCGCGCAAGCGUCCUGGGACUUCUCCAAGUGACUGCGCACAGGCAUCCUGGGGCUUCUCCGAGUGACUGCGAACAGGCGUCCUGGGGCUUCUCUGAGCGACUGCGCACAGGCGUCCCUGGGGUCCCUGGGGUUAGGAUGCUGGCGCUGGCUCAGCAGGUCUGGGAAGGGCCAGGAUUCCAGUGCCCAGGCUACCGUCCAGGUCCACACCAUGCCCCAAUGGACGCUCUCCAGCCCCUCCCUGAGGCUGGGGCCAUGGGAUGAGCUCAGUGGCAUCCAGAUCAGAGUCCACCCCCUCCACACCUUGCCAUGGUCCUGAUGUCACCAAGUGCAUUGUAGCCCUAACCCUCGUGGACCCCCCUUCAUGGGGUGGUGCAGGCAGCGUGUUCUCUGAGGGUAAGGACAGGGCCCAACAGGGGCUGCCCCAAGGAGCCAGUGGAGCCAUGGUUCCCCACCUGCCCACUCGUCUGCCCACCCUCCCCUGAGUGGAGGCAGAGGAGCUGAGAACGGCCUGCCGGCCAGCCCUGGGAAAACCAGGUUCCUUAUGGUCUGCUCAGCCAUAGAGCCGGAGGCCCCUCCCAGCAGCCCCUGCCUGCCCACUCUGCCAGAGCUUCUCCAUGCAACUUUUCUGCAGCAUAGUCCUGUUGCACAAACACCUCUCUCUGCUUUUUCCUUUCUUUUUUUUUUUUUUAAUUUAACCAUAUCUGCUGUAUCAUACAAGCACUCAGGAUCUUGGUUGCAAUGAAUGGAAACCUAUGCUAAAUAACUUUCUCAGAGGGCUCUUGGGGCUCUGGAAACCAGACAGAAGGCUGGAGAAUGAGGGCUGGGCAUAGGCAGGUCCAGGGAGGCCAAGAGGGCAGCCUGGCUGUGAGGCAGCUGCUGGUACAGCCCAGACUGUCCCUGCUUCUGGGUCACUUGCUCCAGACCCAAAGUUCUGCCCAGGAAUGUCUGGUGGUCAAACUCCAGCCAUGUGGCUCCCUCUUUUCAGAGGUGAACUCAGUCUUCACUGAUAAGGGUAAGGUUCCUGGUG